UAUUUCUAUUAUUUACUUGGAAGUCGUGAUCUAAUUCCGAAUCAUAAGAACGAGUUAAAUUAGAUAUUUAAUUCGUAGAGAGUUAUAACGAAGCGUCGUUAUUUAGUAGAACCCAAUAUUAGUUUUACAAAUACUUGAUUAAUUAAUAUUAAUCAAGCUAGAUGAUUUUUUUUCUAUUAGUAACCUCAAUUCUAUUUACUUUACCAUCAUCAUUAUUCUUUCCAUCACCGCAAAGACCCUCGAAGAAUCCGGCGUCGACAGUGAAGCAUUUAAAAAAAAAAGGUUCGGUUUUGAGAAGAGUCACAUUGUCACAAAGUGAGUAAAGGAAAAGGUGAUGACGCGUAAAGCUGGACGGUAUGCCCAUACCGCCUGAGAUGUCCGAAAUUGAAGACUAAAUUGGCAAGAUGUGUUUUGCGGCUGGAACUUUGACUUGGAGAUCAUUUGGCAACUUUUGACCUUUGUGGCCACACUUUAUUGGCAACUUUUGACCUUUGUGGCUUGAUUUCUCAUGGGACUUGCGCCAUUUUUUUUUCUUAUAUAUAUUACUUGUUGGAAACAUAGAAAUAACACACACACCUAAUCAGCCAAAAAACUCCACCCUUUAAAUCACCAGCUACGAUUCUCCCUUCUUCCUUUAUGCACCAAAAAUCAUAGAGAGUUUAUUUCAGCUGCAAUCUGGACCCCAAGAGUUUAUUCACUCCUGAAUUCAUUAGCACAGCAGCCAACCAAGCACAAAACACACAAGGUCAAGCGCGAGAGUGAGAGCUACUCAAGGAAUCACAGCGCCUUAGAAAAUCUUUGCUAUCAGGUUGAGCUGUGAUGGAUGAUGAAGUGUUGCUGAGUGGAGCUUUUGUCAAAUUGAAAUUAGGCUCAGAAAGGAUAUAUGUCUGCAUACAUGUAUCUCAGUUAUGUUUUCCGCUGCAAACACUGAUUAUGUUUUAGUCAAGUCUAUAACUAUGCCAAUUACUCUUCAAAGAAAUAUCUAAUGCUUACUCGGGUUAAUCGAGUAUCCUUUUUAAUUAUAUGCGUCAAUCCUUCAAAUGUAUUAAAGUUUAUUUCAAGAAUUAAUGCUAGAUAUCAAUGUUUAUAAUCGAGU
Molecule: long non-coding RNA, 1096 nt
Organism: Salvia miltiorrhiza (redroot sage)
Lineage: Eukaryota; Viridiplantae; Streptophyta; Magnoliopsida; Lamiales; Lamiaceae
Exons: 2
Source: RefSeq, a predicted model, not a curated record